GAGAUGUGGAAGUGGUGUGAGCCAUUGAGCUAACUCGUACUAAUUACCCGUGAGGCUUAACCAUACAACGCCAAAGUGGUUU
Molecule: ribosomal RNA, 82 nt
Filed under: Pseudoalteromonas rubra
Lineage: Bacteria; Pseudomonadati; Pseudomonadota; Gammaproteobacteria; Alteromonadales; Pseudoalteromonadaceae
Description: partial 23S ribosomal RNA
Source: RNAcentral